RNAcentral lists this ribosomal RNA (254 nucleotides) under uncultured bacterium. RNAcentral describes it as "partial 16S ribosomal RNA". It matches the Rfam family "Bacterial small subunit ribosomal RNA", at positions 524 to 776 of the family's 1533-position model. The record is from RNAcentral.
UACGUAGGGUGCGAGCGUUGUCCGGAAUUAUUGGGCGUAAAGGGCUCGUAGGCGGUCUGUCGCGUCGGGAGUGAAAACUCAGGGCUUAACCCUGAGCCUGCUUCCGAUACGGGCAGACUAGAGGUAUGCAGGGGGAGAACGGAAUUCCUGGUGUAGCGGUGAAAUGCGCAGAUAUCAGGAGGAACACCGGUGGCGAAGGCGGGUCUCUGGGCCGAUACUGACGCUGAGGAGCGAAAGCGUGGGGAGCAAACAGG